This 365-nucleotide ribosomal RNA is filed under the name uncultured bacterium. RNAcentral describes it as "bacterial SSU rRNA". It matches the Rfam family "Bacterial small subunit ribosomal RNA", at positions 525 to 896 of the family's 1533-position model. The record is from RNAcentral.
ACGGAGGGUGCAAGCGUUAUCCGGAUUUAUUGGGUUUAAAGGGUCCGUAGGCGGACGAUUAAGUCAGCGGUGAAAGCCCACAGCUCAACUGUGGAACUGCCAUUGAUACUGGUUGUCUUGGGUACGGUUGAUGUUGGCGGAAUAAGUCAUGUAGCGGUGAAAUGCAUAGAUAUGACUUGGAACCCCGAUUGCGAAGGCAGCCAACAAAGCCGAAACUGACGCUGAGGGACGAAAGCGUGGGUAGCGAACAGGAUUAGAUACCCUGGUAGUCCACGCUGUAAACGAUGAUUACUCGGUAUUGGCGCAAGUCAGUGCCCAAGCGAAAGUGAUAAGUAAUCCACCUGGGGAGUACGGCCGCAAGGUUG